RNA transcript from Solenopsis invicta (red fire ant), 2859 nucleotides. RefSeq lists it as uncharacterized. NCBI's taxonomy places the organism in Eukaryota, Metazoa, Arthropoda, Insecta, Hymenoptera, Formicidae. The transcript is spliced from 7 exons. The record is from RefSeq and is a predicted model, not a curated record.
GGAGCGGAGUGGCAGUGCGCGCGAGGUGGAGGGGCGUUUUGUUACAAAUUAUUACAUUUGAUGUACGCGAGCCACGCAGGAGCGUACCCUCAAUUUGGAAAUACCCGACAGCGGGAACGAGUCAGACGGGCGUGGUAUCACUUCAACCAAGCCUAUAAGUUUCUGCGAGAGAUAGGCCACACCCUUCGAGAACUGGAACUCGGAACUAGCACCUCAAUAAUUUUCUCUUUCUCUUUCUCUUGAGGAACUUAAAGUUCCUCUGGAUUUCCAGAUCUGUUUCACUUGCAUAUUCAAUCUCCUCACAAGUUAUAUAUUAUAGAUUAGUCCCGGACACCCCUCACUCAUCAGUGCCCACUCCGUCAUACUCCUUGAAACGCUUUGAUUUUCCAAGCCCAUGUAGGCUCCUUUUCCCCAAGGACUCUACAACUAUCGUUGAGUUUCUGAGGGAAGCUUACUUUUCUCCCUCUCCUUCUCCCCCCUGGAUCUCUUCCCUUACGGUCUCCUGAUCUAAAGGAAGAAGAUCCUCCGCCUAGUUUCUACUACACACCUGGUUUCCACCAGUUAUUGCAGUUUCUGCUCACGAAGUUCCCUCUAUUUUCUGGGUCCCUCCUCGAAGAAACCAACCUAUGCUAUCUAUAUAUAUGGCUUCAAUCCGGAGAAGCUUUGCUCCGUACUUCCCCGUCUUUCCUCCAGCGCCAUAAUUUUUGUAUGUUUUUUCCACAUAUCCCAAUUAUUACCUUGACCCUUAAUCAAUAUUUUUUAAAUUCUUUCCUUUAAAUUCCGCCACAAUAAAUUAAAUAUUCGACUAAAAAACCCCCUUUAGUUUCUUUUCGAUCUAUCGCUCCCUUCCACUUAUACACAAGUACACAUACACGCACCGCACACGCACACACACACCCCAGUAUAUUUAAGCAAUUAUAGACUAUCCGAAUAUAACAUUGUAAUAAUUUUAGAAACAAUAAUCAUUCUGAGUAUAUUUGUAAAUCAAAGACAUGAAUAACAUAAUGAAAUAAUGUAUGGUAAUCAUUGUGAUAUAAAUGGAAUAAUUGUUAAAUAAAUGCUGUUUGUCUUCUUUCUAAAUUUAAAAUUUAUAAUAAACCGAUCUUUUUAAUGUAACUAGUGUUUGUGGACUAUGAUUAUUUCUGAUCUAUCUUACAUUUCGUGUUCUAAAGAUAAAGCACUUGGUUCGAUUCCGAGUCACAGUGAUUAAGUUUGUUGACUUUAAAAAGGACCAACAACCGUACUGUGCCCGAAGAGAGUCAAAGUGCCUUUUGGUAUACUGACCGAGACCUUGGGUUAAACAGUUCGUUUGACUCGUGGCACGCAGCAACUCGUGUUUACGAGUUUGCAAUUUAUUAACGAAAAUGACGAAUGCGAUGAGGAAAAUGAUACUUUAUUUGAAGUUGGUCUUACUAAAUGGCUAGGAGAAAACUCAAACAAUAAAGUUACAAAAAUUUCUUGGCUUCCUAGAUUUGAGCAAGGUAUUGCAGUUAAAAAAGAAUUAGAUGCACAUCUUUCAUGGCUCAUUUAUAAUGUUGUUGUUUUAAAAUUUUAUGGUAUGUUGCUUCUUAUUAUGUUUCUUUUUUCAUUUGUAUGGCUAUUUUUUUUUUAAUUCUGUAUUGUUUAGAUACACUUUUGGAUGCACGACAAGCACGGAAUAGAUCUAUUAUAUAUAUCUUCUACUUAUGAAACUGAAUAUGAAUUUGGUCGUGGCAAACGUAAAAAAAUUAAGCGCCAUUUGUCAAGUGAUGAAUCUUUUUCGACAAAUGUGACAAAAAAGAAAAGCUGUAAGAAAUUUAAACCUACUCCAAGUUUUGAUUAAGGAUAUUAAAACAAUGAAACUAUUACAUUUAAAAAAAGCAAUAAGACAAUUUUAACAUCUCAUAAAAAUAUCAAAUCUAAAAAGGAUUUUCUACUUACAAAAAUAUAUGGAGCAAAGAAGAAAACUUUACCUAUGAACGAACAAAAAACUGCAGCUGUCAUGGAGACAGCAAGACAAAAACAAAAAUGUUUGGAAGACAAUAGAGAAAUAUAGUAUUUCAUGCUGCAGAGGAAAAUAUUGAUUCUUAUUCCCGCAAAGAUUUUUCAAUGAAAAUUCAGAAAAUAAUGUCAUUAGAAAAUAAUGUUUCUGAAAAGACAAGUGCAAAGUUGAGUCUAGAGACACUAAGUACAUCAAGGGAUUAUUAUUAUUCGUAUCAAAAGGACACAUUUCAUGAGAUAUCAUCAUUUCCAAUGCGCAAUGUAUGCCCAUCGGAAUUACGUGAAACAAGUCCAAUUAGUUCUCAUAUAACAGCAUCAAUUGAUUUUACACCUUGCUCAUCUCAUCCAUCAGACAGUGCAUUAUCACAUGUGUCUGAAGUGACUUUUGAAACAAAAACUUUUAAAAAGAUGUAUAUGCUAUAUCAAGAAAUUAGUAGUAAAUUGGAUGUGCUGAUCAUGAAUCAAUGCAGAUUACAUCGACAUUUUCUUCCAAAUGAAAGAAGAAUAGUAAGACCAACAGAUCUUCCGGCACUACCAUUAACAACAGAAGAAGAAUUGGAAAAGUUGAAAAAUAUUUAUCGGAAGAUGAUAACACAGGAGCAACUAUUUAUUACAUGAGUCAAAUAAUUGGACCUAAGGAUAAUACUAAGGAAGCAACGUAUAAAGUACUGAAGAAACUUAUUUCGAAUACACUGGCAUCGGAAUUUACUUUGAAAGGUGGUACCGAAAAUGUUUUGAAAAGCUGACGUUGUAUUAAUUGUUCAAGUGCCAUUUUGGAUGAAAGACCAAAAACAGAAGUCGAAGAAAUUGCUGUAGCAACUUCGUCAUGGCUAAAGCAAGCCCUUUGGUGUCACCAAUAUGAUGGCAGUAUGGGAAGAA